This is a small nucleolar RNA of Megalops cyprinoides (Indo-Pacific tarpon), 207 nucleotides long. RefSeq annotates it as small nucleolar RNA U3. NCBI's taxonomy places the organism in Eukaryota, Metazoa, Chordata, Actinopteri, Elopiformes, Megalopidae. The transcript has a single exon. The record is from RefSeq and is a predicted model, not a curated record.
AAGGCUAUACUUUCAGGGAUUGUUUCUAUAGUUUUUAACUAGAGAAGUGUGUUUCUUGAAAGUCUGGUCUCGUCAAUCACGAUGAAGAGUAUUUGUAUCCUUUUCUGAGCGCGAAAUGAGUACAGACUUGCAGUGCUGUCUGUGCGAUUGAUGACCGUUCCGAACCGUACCAGUACGUUCGGAGGAAAAGGGUACGAGCUGAGUGAU